GUGGGGGUGGAGGAAAAAACAUUCAUAGAUGUGCCCAGAGAUUUCUGGGCAGUGGGUAGUGUAUUUUAAAAAGUGGAAAACUAUACUGAGAAUAACACUGAGCUUUAAGGUGCUGGGAAGAGAAUGAGCAUAUGUGCUCUGGGAAAAGCAGGAGCUGGUGCGGCUGGAAGGGAAUUGAGGACGAAUUUAAAUCCAAGAAGAAGAUCAGCUAUAAAAGGCACCUACAAGGAAGUGGUUUAUUUCUUGGUUAAAAACACCAGUUUAGAGGGACUUCAUGCAUACUUUACAAGCUGACUCUGCAAAAAUACACUGCAGAUAUUCCUGGAAUGAACGGCAAAGGUAACUGCUCUGAAUUCUGAUGAGACAGCCUGGGAAGAGCUGGCACAUCUAUGAUCUAUCGUGGCCCUAUAAAAAAGGAAAGUGAAAAAGAAAAAUUGUUUGAUAAGCACACACACCAGGUGACUUAAAUCGCAAGAUCUUAUUUUAAUUCUCAUAACAGCCUUACGAGGCAAUGUUACCCCAUUUUACAGAGUGAGACAGGAUGAUGAAGACGUUAAGAUUGAAUCAAAGUCAUCCUGCUGGUAAGUGGCAGAGCUAGAAUUCAAAUCCCUGUUCUUGUCACCAUAUUACUGUCCAUUUGUAGUGGCUCUUCACUCUCUACCAUUCCUUGUCCUUAGUAGGGUGAUUCUACUGCUAUCCUUUUAUCCAAAAACUUUCUUGUGAGAGCCAGAUUUUCUACUUCCUUCAAAAGAACAACCCAGGGACCAAUGAUGUUAUAAAGGACUUAUGAGGAAAAUGGAAAUCCCUCACAGACAGAGAUGCUCUGGCUCUGAGAUGGGGAAAUCCAGAGAUGAAAAUUUUGUUUUCCUCACAGGUCUAUGGCAUUUUUAGUCAGUGGAUCCAACCAGAAUAUGAUUUAUUAAGAAUUUGAGACAUCAGUCAUUGUGAUUUCACAUACACACGUGUAUUAUUUUAUUAGCCAGACAGUGACAGUCAUUGUCAAGUGGAGGACCUAAUUCAGACUAAAUAAUCAUGCUCGUUUUGUCCACAGAGGACAAAAGAAUUUUGAGCAAUCUGAUUUUCAGAUGACUGAAUCUUUCUUUUUAGUUACUUGAAGGCAGUGAGAGGAGAGGUUGCUUGGACAGAACUCCUUCCCCAUUAGAUUCUACUCUUAAGCUCUAGACUUCGUAAAGAGAUGUUCUGGAGCUUUGAUUUCCUGAGGGGCUCAUUUUACAUCUUUUCUCCUGGAAACGUAACACCCUAUGUUUAUGCCAGUAGCUAGCAAAGGACCAAGGCAAGAUUUUUCAGGUAAACUCGAGAAGUUUUUGCCCGGGGUUCCCAGGAGUUUCCUUUUCUACGCCCAAGAGGCCAUUGUGCAAAAUGAGUCCUGAAUUUCAAGUGCUUUGAAAUUUCCCGAUAGAGUUUGGGUAAUUCCCAGUAGAUGGCGCUCAUCAGUAACUUUCUGAAAAAGCCAUGCCUUGAGCUUUUACAAAAGUACUGAAGAAAGACUUUUGAGAUUACAGCCUUGCUAUGUAAAAGAUACAUUUUGGCUCAUUUCCUGAUUCAUUGCCCAUUCUUUCAGAAAUCAGAAUUUGAAAGGGAGGAGGGAAGGUAACUUUCUCUUAGUUUAUAAAGUUACUUUCUUUAGUUUUUAAAAUUUGAUAACUUUAGUUAUCUGGCUCAGAGGAAAAAAGAAAACAAGUAGAAAAUAUUAUUUCUCCAUCUAGCUCCCAUUUUGGUUUGGUUUUUCCCACUUAGAGGAUCUGAAUGUAUCUCUCUCCCCUUUCUGAGCAGACUGUACCCUAGAGGUUUUUAUUUGGAUGUCAGUUGCUUAGACCUCAAAGUUACCUUCUUCUUGAAACAGGUGUUUUAAGAAAUGGUGGUGGUACCUUCAUAAAUGCC
Molecule: long non-coding RNA, 1902 nt
Filed under: Canis lupus familiaris (dog)
Lineage: Eukaryota; Metazoa; Chordata; Mammalia; Carnivora; Canidae
Description: lncRNA (ENSCAFG00030005510.1)
Source: RNAcentral